AUCAUUAUCAUUCACACUAUUUACAUUACUAUCUACGGGAGGACUGUCAUCUUCUUGCCCAGAGCCCCUCGUACCAACAAAAGGUAUGAUCUCCUGCCCUCGAGGCCCAGCGUCUUCAUCCCCUUGCUUGGGUUCUGCCUCAGAGGACCCAGCUACAGUGCGAGAGGUUCCUUUGGGUAAGGGCAGAUCAUCCUCACCAUAUAACACGUCCUCACCAUCGGAGUCCACCUCAGCAGCUCGGAGCUUUGAUAGAGGGGUAGAAAGAGCAAGUCUGGAAUCUCUCAAACCCCUAUUGAAAC
Molecule: long non-coding RNA, 299 nt
Filed under: Manihot esculenta (cassava)
Lineage: Eukaryota; Viridiplantae; Streptophyta; Magnoliopsida; Malpighiales; Euphorbiaceae
Description: long non-coding RNA (MESC_LNC008623)
Source: RNAcentral